GGACGUGUGGCCUAGUGGACCAAGGCGGGAGGUUCCUAACCUCCAGAGCGUGGGUUCGAAUCCCAUCACGUCCG
RNAcentral lists this transfer RNA (74 nucleotides) under Halobacteriales archaeon QS_9_68_17. RNAcentral describes it as "tRNA-Arg". It matches the Rfam family "tRNA". From Rfam's summary of the family: Transfer RNA (tRNA) molecules are approximately 80 nucleotides in length. Their secondary structure includes four short double-helical elements and three loops (D, anti-codon, and T loops). The record is from RNAcentral. Lineage: Archaea; Methanobacteriati; Methanobacteriota; Halobacteria; Halobacteriales. RNAcentral also lists the same sequence under 1 other name.